RNAcentral lists this ribosomal RNA (527 nucleotides) under uncultured bacterium. RNAcentral's name for it is "bacterial SSU rRNA". It matches the Rfam family "Bacterial small subunit ribosomal RNA", at positions 28 to 526 of the family's 1533-position model. The record is from RNAcentral.
GACGAACGCUGGCGGCGUGCCUAAUACAUGCAAGUCGAACGCUUCUUUUCUACCGAGUGCUUGCACUCACUUGAAAAGAGGAGUGGCGAACUGGUGAGUAACACGUGGGUAACCUGCCCUCAAGCAGGGGAUAACACUUGGAAACAGGUGCUAAUACCGUAUAACAACAAAAACCGCAUGGUUUUUGUUUGAAAGAUGGUUUCGGCUAUCACUUGAGGAUGGACCCGCGGCGUAUUAGCUAGUUGGUGAGGUAAUGGCUCACCAAGGCAAUGAUACGUAGCCGACCUGAGAGGGUAAUCGGCCACAUUGGGACUGAGACACGGCCCAAACUCCUACGGGAGGCAGCAGUAGGGAAUCUUCCACAAUGGACGAAAGUCUGAUGGAGCAACGCCGCGUGAGUGAAGAAGGGUUUCGGCUCGUAAAACUCUGUUGUUAAAGAAGAACAGGUGUAAGAGUAACUGUUUACACCGUGACGGUAUUUAACCAGAAAGCCACGGCUAACUACGUGCCAGCCGCCGCCGUAACAC